RNAcentral lists this ribosomal RNA (2805 nucleotides) under Triticum aestivum (bread wheat). Its description in RNAcentral is "partial small subunit ribosomal RNA". The record is from RNAcentral. Lineage: Eukaryota; Viridiplantae; Streptophyta; Magnoliopsida; Poales; Poaceae.
AUGCAGAUGGAUGAAGUCAUUGACCUUGUGUCAGAAGACGAUAUUGCCUCCUAUGAGGAGACAAGUUCUGAAGAUACUGUAGAUGUGAAAGUCUGUGACGUAUGUGGAAAUGUUGGUGAGGAGAAGAAGCUCGCUGUUUGCAGCAGAUGCAAUGAUGGUGCUGUGCAUAUUUACUGUAUGUUGGUAAUGCUUCAAGAGGUUCCAGAGCGCGGGUGGUUGUGUGAUGAGUGCCAAGCUGAGGUAGAAAUUGAAAUUGAAAAGAAGAAACUUGAGAAAUCUCAAGUAAAUUUUGUCAUGGUCUCCAUGGAGAAUAAAGUGGAUGCUGAAAAGGCUAAAGACGCGUCUAAUGUGGCUCGUUGGAAUAAAAGGUUAAACAGACAGAGCGAGGCCAAUUUUUUAGAAGAGAUCAAAGAUGUGAAAGUAUGCGACAUUUGUGGAGAUGUUGGUGAAGUGGAGAAGCUCACUGUUUGUGGUAGAUGCAAUGGUGCUGAACAUGUUUAUUGUAUGCAGGUGAUGAUGGAAAAGGUUCCAGAUGUCAUGUGGUUGUGUGAAGCAUGUCAAACUGAGGUAGAAUUUGCAGAGGAAAGGACGGAACUAGAAAAAUCCCAAGUAAUGGUUGGUGCAUGUAAAUUAGAGUCCUUUGGAGGGCAAACGAAUAAACCUGUGGAUGAUGCAAAUAGCGGAAGUUAUUUUGAGGAUGAAAUGGAGGCUGCACAUGUGAGUAGUAAAAACUCAAACAUGAGAAAUCAAUCCAACGGUAUGACUACCAAGAGGAUAGGAGACGAUGCAACAAUUACGUUACUGAUUGGAAAAGAUCUUUCUGAAUCUGGUGGUGUAUCCAUGGAAGGUGACUCUGCAAAAAGAGCGCCGCUUUCGCGCAAAAAUUCACUCAAGCUGGACACAGAGAAAGGAAAGGAACCUGCUAGGCCAAUGCCAACACCAUUGACAUUGAAUGCCCUGAAGAAUCAGGCACCACCUCUUUGUGGUCCACUCCUGAAGUCCAUUUCUUUCAAGAACUCAAAGGUCCCGAAGGUGAAACAACUGGUCACUGAAGUUCCUCAAAAGCCCAAAAAUCUGAAGGAACCUAUAUCCUUAAUUACAAAACAAGACGGGCCAGUGAUCACACUUGCUAAGUCGACAUCAGUCAAAAAGCUGAACUCUAGCGAGCCGGUAAGUAAAGGAAAGUCUUCCAUCUUACUAGAUGUUGAGGAACCAAGAAUGAUGAAUUCAGUAAUGACCCGAAAUGUAACGAAUAAGAGGGGCACUUCUAUAUCUGGAUAUCCCUCUGUUGCUGCAUCAAUGCUUGUGCCAGUUCCUUCGAAAGCAGAAUCCGCAGCUCAGCAUCUCAAUAAACAAAAUAAGAUGGAUAAUUUAGGCAUCGCUUAUGGACAAGACGGUAGAAACUUUCCUGCACCUAGUGAACCAAAGAGACAGCUUGUAGCAAAAGUCCUGGGAAGCCUAACGUUAAUUAGUGCUGAGACAUCCUCAGGUCUGCUUUGUUCUGGUGCACAGAUGAAGGGAAUUCAAAUCCCGGAUACUUCACUGGUUGAUAAAAUAAAGAACCCACCUAGCUUGAAGCCAGGUACUUCUAGCAGCAGUUGCACAAUGCAUUGUCAACAAUGUGAUGAAGUGGGACAUUCUACACAAUUUUGUCCUGUUGGCAGAUCUAGCUUGUUUGUAACAAAACCUUUGAGUGAGCAAACCAGUGACCGAACUGCCAGAUGCAAUAGAACAUCUGAAGCUACUACUUUGACUGCUACUGAAGACAUUUUGAAAUCAGCAUAUCAAUCUGAGCCAAGUCCAAAACGCCGCCGCUAUCAUAACCCAUCAUAUAAGCCUAUAAAUGUAUUAUGUACCUCCAUUAGUCAUGAGGAAAGCAGUGAGCAGGAUGUGAGAAAUGGUAUGCCUACUCCUAGUACUACAGCUUCUGUAGAUUGUCACGAGCUAAAGUACAAAGAGCAUCAGGCUGCAUCUGCCAUGGGAGGAAGAUUUGUGGACAGCAGUUCAACUAUGUUGAAUGAUUCGACGGACAAAUCGCCAAUCUUUUCACCUAGUGAUGACAGAAUAACUUCUAGUGUUCCAGAGUUGGCUUACAUUUGGCAAGGUUGUUUUGAAAUAUGGAGGACUGGACGGUCAUCUAAGUUUUGUAAGGGCUUGCAAGGACACUUAUCAUGUUCUGCUUCACAAAAGGUUUUGGAAAUAGCAAAGAAAUUCCCUUCUAAAAUCCGGCUUGAGCAACUUCCUCGCCGGAAUAUAUGGCCCCCACAGUUCCAUGGAAAUGGCCUUUCGUAUGACAGUAUUGGUCUUUUUUUCUUUGCACAAGAUAUCCAGAGUUAUGAGAGGCAUUACAGUAAGUUAGUAGAAUGGAUGCUGAAAGGCGAUUUGGCACUCAGAGGAAACAUUGAAACAGCUGAAUUGCUCAUAUUUCCUUCCAAUAUCCUGCCAAAAAGCUUUCAAAGAUGGAACAUGUCCUAUUAUCUAUGGGGUGUAUUUAGAGUCAGAAGAAAAGAUUCUAACCUUCCAUAUCAUGUACCUACAAGAAAACAUUGUAAUUUCAAUGGAAAUCUCUUGGCCGUGGGUCGAAGAACUCAUGCCCACGCUUCUUCUGGCCCCAGUUUCUAUUACUCACCUACUUGUGAAGACUCUCCAUCUAUCAUGCCCUUGGAAGCUAAUCAUGAGGGUUGCCCCAAUGGUGAGAAUUCUCUAGGGAAAGAGAGGACAGCCGUCAACCAUGACAAUGCAGAGGACCUGUUGCGACCCAGUGUAGUUGACCUACAACGGCGACCGCAAUCAGUAUGUCGCUAA